Molecule: long non-coding RNA, 231 nt
Filed under: Pelobates cultripes (western spadefoot toad)
Lineage: Eukaryota; Metazoa; Chordata; Amphibia; Anura; Pelobatidae
Source: RNAcentral
GAGCUGCGCGCGCAUUCAGCCGGUCUCAUAGGAAAGCAUUCAUAAUGCUUUCCUAUGGACGCUGGCGUCUUCUCACUGUGAUUUUCACUGAGAAUCACGCAAGCGCCUCUAGCGGCUGUCAAUGAGACAGCCACUAGAGGAUUUGGAGGCUGGAUUAACCCAUUUAUAAACAUAGCAGUUUCUCUGAAACUGCUAUGUUUAUAAAAAAAAGGGGUUAAUCCUAGAGGGACC